AGGGUGAGGGGGCGGGGUUCUUCUCCUUUCAUUGUGUGAGUAUGUGUAUGUGCUUUUGUGCUUGCUUUAAAGUUUGUGUGGACUGGCUGGUAGAGAGACCUCACUCGAUGGAGGAGUAAGACGUAGAGCCCAGCAGCAGAGCGGCGUGACGACUGACGGGGUCGAAGACAGGAAGCUGGAAGUUGGAGGAAGUCUGUAAUGUAGAGGUUCACCGCGACAGCCUGAGGAGAACGCCUCCCUCAGCACCUCCCACACCUCCAUCAUGACGGACAGCCAACACCCAGGCGUGCCUUCCCCUUCGCUCUCUUCAAAUGCUCACCACAAUGGCAGGAUUGGGGGGGCGGUGUCCAAAAGUCCCAUGACCCCUGAUCAAAAUGGUAGUCUGGAUCCAGGACCAGGACCCCGCAGUCCCAGUAAAGUCAGCAGCAGGACGCUGACCUCCACCUCACCCCUGAGGACCCUCAGGACUCUCGAAGGCCUUGUGAGUCCAGCAGGUCCCAGUCCUGAAGGCAGCACCGUCAGACCUCGGGGACAGAGCCUUAGCUCUGCACUCAGCUCCAGAAUGAGAAUCACGACCCCCAGAAGCAAGCGUAGGAGCAGCCAGCAGGGGGAGCCAGAGGCCCUGUUGGACCUGAUCCUGGAGUCUCAGUGUAAGAGGCUGGACGACCAGAGAGCCAGCGUCAGCCUGCUGCCUGAUCCAGAACCAGCUGCUCUUUGCGGGGCCUGCAGUCCAGAUCAGCCCCCUGUGCCCAGCCUGGACUUCUACUACAUGCUCAUACACUACCAGUCUGACAGGAUGGAGGACCAGAGGUGUUCCCUCCCAGACCUGGAUGACGUGCUCAGUCCGGUUCCUGAUGGUCAGGAGGACUUCUUCUCUUUGGUCCAGAGAGUCCAGUCCAGGAGGAUGAAUGAGCAGCGAGCUUCACUGCUGCUGAGGAACAGUGAGGAGGACCCGGACGCACAAUCUGCUAGCUCCUCCCUCCAUCAUCAUCAUCAUCAUCAUCACUGAUGAAGCCCCGAGUCUGAUUGGGUGGAGCGACUGAAUUCUAGUUCCCUUGAAGGAGUAGCAUUUGUUGUUGAGUGUGGCUCUGGCUCCUCAGACUGAAACCAGGACCGCAGUGAUCCUGGACUCGGGCCCAUGAAGGUUUUAGUCUGCGUGUAGGACAAACUGCUGUCAGAAAUAAUCUUAAUUUUUACUAACACACCUGUAACACAUGUCACAUGACCAGGAAUCACAGGUUGGUUUCUGUACGAAAGAAGAAAAAAAUGCUCUGAGGUUUGAUUUGAUGUUUGGAAGUUUGUUUCAAUCAAACUUAGGGCUGCAAACACUUCUGUGCGGAUGACCCUGGGUAAGUGGGGCUGUGUGGGUGGGGCAAACCCAUAUUUAUCCCACACAGCGCCCACAGCAUAUUUGCCCUUCAAGGCUAGUGGGGAUGCCGGUGUGGGCUUUCCCACAGGAAACCCACAUUAGUGGCCAAGAGAGGCGUGUUUGGUGGGGCAAGCUGAGGUUUAACUGCAUUAGAAGGUGAACAUGGGCAUCCCUGUGAUGCUGGAGUAGGGAGGGUGUAGGUCGUGGGUGUGGGUGUGAGGUCUGAGGUGUGAGGCGUGAAGCACGCGUGUUGGUGUGAGGGGCAAACGUAGUGAUGGUUAACAAGAACCCUUGGGGGCGCAGGACACGACUCAUUAAGUCAUGUGACUGGCGCGGGGGAGGGGGGGGGGGCAUUCUGGUAGAUGUAGUGAAGUUUAGUAACCGAUACUUUCAGCUUUAAAAGGACAAAGCCUUAAUGAGGUCAUCAUAUCCAUCAGCUGUUGCUCCUCCCACCACAAUGCUGUACAGGAAACAGCUGUUUACUUCCUGUUUGUUCUGUGGUCCCUAACUCAAACUAACAAGGUGACUGAAUGCAGACCAGCCGACGAUGCACUUACUGACUGCAUGAUAAACACUCUGUAUGUAAACGUCACCCUGGACCUGUGAACCUGUGACCUGAUCUGUGUCCUGUUUCACCUGUACUCACCUGAGUCUGUAGUAACUGCAGAAAUGUGACCUUUAACCUCGUGGUGCUGAUUUAAAUAAUCUCUCUAACAAACAUCUCAGCUUGUAUUUCACUGUCAAACUUCAUUCAAACAUGCGGCUCACAGACGCGAUGUCAGGCUCUCCCACCUGUAAACACCUGACAUGUUUACCAACCACAGGCGUCGGUCUGGAGCUGAAGCCUCUCUGUGACCUCUGACCUCUGUAAGCUGGAAAAGUCUGAUCGUAAAGAGAAAUGUUUCAUCAGGUGUGAUCCUCCUCCUUGUUGCCUGGUAACAGCUUUCUCACCCUCCCAGUCACUCAUAAAAGCAAAGCUGGUUCAAAUCUGACCAGAGAUUUCACAUUUCAGUCAUCUGACUGCAGACAAACGAAGCCGCCUCCUGUUGUUGCUUGGAGGCCACCUUUGAUCAGGACCAAACAUGUCCUGAUCCAGAAUAAUCGGAUUUGUUCGGAGUGGUGCGACAGCAACAUAGAUUUCAAUUCAAUUAAAUUCAAUGUUCGCGCCAAAUCACAACAUCAGUCACCUCAAGGUGCUUUAUAUUGUACAGUAGAUCGUACAAUAAUAGAUACAGAGAAAAACCCAACAAUCA
This is an RNA transcript of Oreochromis aureus, 2622 nucleotides long. It is a transcript of the gene named G protein signaling modulator 1a, with no coding region annotated. The record is from RefSeq and is a predicted model, not a curated record. The transcript has 5 exons. NCBI's taxonomy places the organism in Eukaryota, Metazoa, Chordata, Actinopteri, Cichliformes, Cichlidae.